GAGUUUGAUCUUGGCUCAGAACGAACGCUGGCGGCAUGCCUAACACAUGCAAGUCGAACGAAGGCUUCGGCCUUAGUGGCGCACGGGUGCGUAACGCGUGGGAAUCUGCCCUUAGGUACGGAAUAACUCAGGGAAACUUGAGCUAAUACCGUAUAAUGACUCCGGUCCAAAGAUUUAUCGCCUAAGGAUGAGCCCGCGUCGGAUUAGCUAGUUGGUGAGGUAAAGGCUCACCAAGGCGACGAUCCGUAGCUGGUCUGAGAGGAUGAUCAGCCACACUGGGACUGAGACACGGCCCAGACUCCUACGGGAGGCAGCAGUGGGGAAUAUUGGACAAUGGGCGCAAGCCUGAUCCAGCAAUGCCGCGUGAGUGAUGAAGGCCUUAGGGUUGUAAAGCUCUUUUACCCGGGAUGAUAAUGACAGUACCGGGAGAAUAAGCCCCGGCUAAC
RNAcentral lists this ribosomal RNA (446 nucleotides) under uncultured Alphaproteobacteria bacterium. RNAcentral describes it as "bacterial SSU rRNA". It matches the Rfam family "Bacterial small subunit ribosomal RNA", at positions 9 to 501 of the family's 1533-position model. Lineage: Bacteria; Pseudomonadati; Pseudomonadota; Alphaproteobacteria. The record is from RNAcentral.